RNAcentral lists this long non-coding RNA (234 nucleotides) under Lathyrus oleraceus (garden pea). RNAcentral describes it as "Pisum sativum (pea) long non-coding RNA (PSAT_LNC015920)". The record is from RNAcentral. Lineage: Eukaryota; Viridiplantae; Streptophyta; Magnoliopsida; Fabales; Fabaceae.
UUAAUUCCAUUUUAUUUCAAAAAUUCAUAUCUCUGUCAUUAUUGGUCCAAAAAUUAUGGGACCAAUUUCAUUCUUCUCCUUUUAAUUUCUACUUUAUAAAAAUGAUUUUUGAUAUUUUUUAUUUUAUCAUGUGAUAUUUAUUUGUAAUUUUCUCUUUUUUGGUUAUUUUUAAUUCAUUUUAAUUAGUUUUUGAUAUUCAAAAAAUACAAAAAUAUUUUUCCAACCUCUUUGAAU